AGCCUAACGAAAUUUUAUGGUCUUGGGGCCGAGGCAGCAAGGGGCCGCUCGUGGCAGAGCCUCCAGCCUUCCCUAGGUUUGAAUGCUUAUGUGACGUGCAUCGAGAAGCAAAUAAAUGAUGAACAAGGUUUUCAGCGAAGUUUUCCUGCAUAACAAGCACUGAAAAGGUAAUUUGUGAAUAAUCUGUGGACAUGCCUGAAUGGAAGAGAAAGCCUAAAACUAUAGCUGGAACUCCACUUGCUAGACUGUCAACCCAAGUGGCUUUUGGAGCAGUGGUAUCUUCAGUAUUGAUGGGAUUUGCUUUUUAUCAGGCAUAUGGAACAAGAGCAACUGAAAAAUUUCAUCUAAACGAACCUGGUCUUACUGACGAGGAAAGACAGGUAUACCAAGACAUCAAGCUGAAGAAAAUGAUUCCAUACCUGACCCGGAAAGAGGUGGAAGAGCGCGAACAAAAGUACCGCGAAACGAGAACAAAUAUGUAAUGGAAACCACGAGGAAGUCCCUUCAAAAUUACCAUAAUUGUUUUGCCGUGUGUGCUUGGAACAGUCGAGACGACUCAGUUCGGAUGAGGCAGGCCGUGCCGUGCGACGAUUGGUCGUGAGCCGUGACGACAGUGUCGGGCGAUGCGGGUGCCGCUCGACCCACACGCGGGACGACGGUGCAAUGCAGCGCGGUGAUACGGUGGCUGACCACAGCGGCAGAAGCAGCCACCGCGCGACCGGUGCCUGGGAGACCGAGUGACGGUGCUCCAGGCGAGUCGGACUCGAGUCAUGUCGCAAAGUCAGCGCGCCAACAAGCUGAGUCGGCGGGCGGGCGGCGGCGCCCGGCGCGACGCCGGCCCGCCGCCGCCCGCCCGCCCGGACUUGGACAACAGCGACGACUUCACGGACAGCGUCUGCUUUACCAGGUCUCGGACGAGGGUAUGCCUGUCACAAUCCUCCAGCAGUGUGCCUUCGACCACCAUCGGGCAGUCGCGGUCCUCCGUCAACGUGACCGAGGCGGUCCGGCAGCAGUCACAGUCCUUCGCGGCGGCCGGCGCAGCGCGACCGUCUUCGCCCGCCCGUCGGACGCGGUCUACCAAACUGCACGCUCCAUCGGGCGCGCCUAAACCCAACCCUCCGCCAUACCCCCCAAAAGCCAGCGCCUCGUCGGGCGUAUCGGGAUCCGUCCCUUCGUCAAAGUCCUCAAAAGCUACCCCUCCGCCAAAGCUGUCCACGUCUGUCCAUCCGUCCCCGUGCCCAGACGCCGCGCUGCCGUCCGACUCCUCAGCCGCCAGCGGGGCGUCGGAGCUCGCGAGGUGUCGGCCGCCGCCGGA
This is a long non-coding RNA of Pollicipes pollicipes, 1315 nucleotides long. RefSeq lists it as uncharacterized. The transcript has 5 exons. The record is from RefSeq and is a predicted model, not a curated record. Lineage: Eukaryota; Metazoa; Arthropoda; Thecostraca; Pollicipedomorpha; Pollicipedidae.